Andrographis paniculata is the source of this 464-nucleotide long non-coding RNA. RefSeq lists it as uncharacterized. The transcript is spliced from 3 exons. Lineage: Eukaryota; Viridiplantae; Streptophyta; Magnoliopsida; Lamiales; Acanthaceae. The record is from RefSeq and is a predicted model, not a curated record.
CAUUCAUAUUCACAAGAAUCACAACCCUGCUCCUUCCCCUCCAUAUGCUGCGGCUAUUGCAUCUUAUUUCUUCUUUAGUUCAACACAAGUAUAUUUGAAGAUAUGUCUGUGCUAUAGAGAAUGAAACACUUGUUAAUGUUCCGAAUGAAGCCGUAGUUAAUCACUUGAAAAGCACGAAAGAGCGCCGAGAACCAUUGUAGAAGUCACCACGACACCAUCGGCGCAGGCGCAGUACAUCAGGGUAGGUGAAGAUGAAGAAGAAAGAGGAGGCGAAAAAAUACCGAAGGAGGAGGACCAAGGAUCGCCAAUGAGAAAGAAAGAAAUCUCUAAUUACUUGUUUGUAUUGGUUAUUUUAGCCUUAGCGCCAUAAUGUAGGAUUCGUUGGUUGAUGAAUGAGCAUUCCGGUGUGGCAUGACGGUGACACUUCGGUUUGAGCUGACCGGGGUGUUACAGUUGGUAUAAGA